Small nuclear RNA from Rattus norvegicus (Norway rat), 105 nucleotides. The record is from Ensembl. Lineage: Eukaryota; Metazoa; Chordata; Mammalia; Rodentia; Muridae.
CAUACUUUUACGUGUGCUUUGGUAGCACACACCACGAUACAGAGAAGAGUUACAUCAUCCCUGUAUAAGGAUGACACACAAUUUUGCAAAGGAUUCCAUAUUAAU